AGAGUUUGAUCUUGGCUCAGGAUGAACGCUGGCGGUAUGCCUGAGAUAUGCAAGUCGAGCGCAGUCCCGACCGCAAGGUCGUGGAUUCAGCGGCGGACGGCUGAGUAAUACAUAGAAAUCUGCCCCUUUCUGGAGGAUAGCCCCGCGAAAGCGGGGGUAAUACUUCAUAGUGUCAUGCCUAGCAUGACUAAAGGACGUAACUGUUCGGAAAGGGAUGAGUCUGUGUCCUAUCAGGUAGUUGGUAGGGUAAUGGCCUACCAAGCCAAUCACGGGUAGCUGGUCUGAGAGGAUGGCCAGCCAGAGGGGGACUGAGACACGGCCCCCACUCCUACGGGAGGCAGCAAUCAGGAAUAGUCGGCAAUGGACGAAAGUCUGACCGCGCGAUACCGCGUGUAGGAUGAAGCUCUCACGAGUGUAAACUACUGUGGAGAAGGAAGAAGUCUGGCGUAAGCCAGAUUGACGGUACUUCUCUAGAAAGGGGCCGCUAACUGCGUGCCAGAAGCGUCGGUAAUACGUGGGCCUCAAGCGUUAUCCGGUAUCACUGGGCAUAAAGGGUCGUGUAGGUGUCUUGUUAAGUUUCUGUUUAAAGAUCAAGGCUCAACCUUGGGAAAGGCGGAAAAACUGGCAAGAUAGAAUUUCCUUAAGGGGGAUCGGAACUGAGAGAGGAGUAGUGAAAUGCGUUGAUACUCUCGGGAACACCAGUGGCGAAGGCGGAUCUCUGGAAGGAAAUUGGCACUGAGACACGAAAGCUAGGGGAGCGAAGCAGAUUAGAGACCUGCGUAGUCCUAGCCCUAAACGAAUGCUUGCUAGCUGCAUGAUCUCAGAACUUAGACGAUAGGCAAUAGACGACAGACGAUAGUCAUAAUAUGACUAUUGUCUAUAGUCUAACGUCUGUAGUCUGCGUUCUGAUAUCGUGUGGCGAAGGAAAUCCGUUAAGCAAGCCGCCUGGGGAGUACGGCCGCAAGGCUAAAACUCAAAGGAAUUGGCGGGGAGGCACACAACCAGUGGAACAUGUGGUUCAAUUCGAUACAAACCGAAGCACCUCACCAGGGUUUGAAAUGCUAGAGUUCUAUACCGAUGAAAGUUGGUAGAUGCGCAAGCAGGCUAGCACAGGUGCUGCAUGGCUGUCGUCAGCUCGUUCCGUGAGGAGUGCCCUUAAGUGGGACAACGAGCGCAACCCCCGUCUCAUGUUAUAUUUGUCAUGAGAUACUGCCCGAGCUUUGCUCGGGAGGAAGGAGGGGCAGACGUCAAGUCAGCAUGGUCCUUAUACCCUGGGCUACACACAUGUUACAAUGAAAGGAGCGACGGGCUUUGCAAACCGGUAACGGCCAGCGAAUCCCUUAAACCCUUUCUCAGUGGGGAUUGAGGUCUGAAACUCGACCUCAUGAACGUGGAAUUGGUAGUAAUCGCGGGUCAGCUACACCGCGGUGAAUACGUUCUUGCCUCUUGUACACACCGCCCGUC
RNAcentral lists this ribosomal RNA (1464 nucleotides) under uncultured bacterium. RNAcentral describes it as "bacterial SSU rRNA". It matches the Rfam family "Bacterial small subunit ribosomal RNA". The record is from RNAcentral.